This is a non-coding RNA of Ciona savignyi (Pacific transparent sea squirt), 73 nucleotides long. The record is from Rfam. NCBI's taxonomy places the organism in Eukaryota, Metazoa, Chordata, Ascidiacea, Phlebobranchia, Cionidae.
GCCUCAAUGGCGCAGUAGGCAGCGCGUGAGUCUCAUAAUCUCAAGGUCGUAAGUUCGAUCCUCACUCGGGGCU